GGCAGAUGGUCCUGGGUCUGCAGCUUCUACUGGGCUUCCCCUGAUUGUAUGAGUGUGUGCAGACUGACUGGAGACCCCUUCAGGCUUUGAACUGGACAAUGUGUGCAGCACCGAACAUGCACGUGUCUUUGAAGUGGCUUAAAAAAAGGACAUUUUUUUUAUAGCCGCUGAAUGAAAUGUGAGUAGUUUUAGGACUUGACUAGCAGCUACAGAACAGUAUUUGCAUGUGAUGUAAAGGAUGGAUUUGUUGCUGAACUGACAACAGCAGAAAACUGGCUGCACUGGUUUACACUAAUUUGCAUCUGCAAUCCUGUUUGAGGUGAACAAAUCUGUGACCCCUGAAUCCGCUCGCCAUCAAUGAAGAAGAGAGAUGAAAAGAAGAAGAUGAAGAAGGCCGGCCUCGUCUUCCUGUCGUCCUUCUGUUCUCUGUUUGAGGCUGAAUCUUCUCAGAAAGCUUCCAGUAAACAGGAACAUCCAACAAGAGGCCCUCUUGCCUCUGAAGUCCCGGCCAGCUGCUCUUCCUCCUCAUCUACCUCCUGCUUUACUCACCUCUCAGCCUCUCUGAUGUGUUUGUUUGGUGUUUCAGAUAUUACAGACAAAGGCCUUCUAUAAUGGGAUUUCUGUCUGGGUCUGAAUGCAGUCUGAACUGGUUUGUUGGGGAUGAAACGUGAAAAAAUGAAGAGUUUCAUGUCAUGUCACAUAGAGGCUAUGUCAAUAUUAAGUUGUAUUUUUAGUCCUAUUUGGAACCAAAGCUUCCAUAGGAUAAAAAAACAAGCUGAGGUUUCCGGCUUUGGGGUUUUUAAGAUGACCGAUUAAUUGUUUUCCUUUGCCUCCAAAAAUAAUUCCUUCAGUUUUAUCUUUGAUUGAUAAAAAGACUGUGGCACACCCAGUCAAUUUGUUCUUUCCAACUACUGAGAUCUUGUACAUGAUUAUAGUCCCUUGGUGACAUGUCUGUGUAAAGUUGGGUGUCAUCUGCAUUUGAUUGUUUUCCAUUUGAGCUAGUAGGAACAGAAAAAGCUUCAGUAUGGAGUCUUGGGAAACUCCACGUUAGUUUUGUUUGCUCAGAUCUGUAAUUACCUACAGACAAAAAGAAGAUCCUGGUCUUUAAGUACCAGGACUUCUGGCUUGGUUUGUGGUAUUUAACAUUACAGAUUAAAGCUGAAUGUGAUUGUUCUUCUUUGCCUUACUUCAGGUUUAUCUUGGUUCAGUUGCUAAAAAGACUUUGCAAACCUUUUGUAUGAGGUUUUAGUCCUCUGGUGAUACGGUUAUGUAAAGUUUUGUGUCAUCUGCAUAGUUUUGGUGUCCUAUUUUAUUGUUUUCUUUCAUCUGAGCUACCAGAAGCAGGCAAAUAUUAAUCAGGAAAGGUAUUGAACCUUGGGGAACUUCACAAGGCAUUUUUUGUCUGCUGAGAUUUGUAAUUACCUACAGAGACAAAGUAGACUGGCUUGGUUUGUGGUAUUCAACAUUGUGAAUUGAAACCAGUUGCUGACUUGUAAUUGUUGUUCUUUGACUACAAAACAAUUACUUCAGUUUUGUCCUUUUUUAUCUUUAGAAAACUGGGAUACAUCCAAUAGGUGAUUUUUUUCUAUGUAACUACUGACUUCUUUUACAUGGGUAUUGCCCCAUGGAGACAUUAUGUAAAACUGAAUGUGUCUGCAUAGUGAAGGUGUCAGAUUUUGUUGUUUACAUAAUCUGAGCCAGUAGGACCAUGUAGACAUUUAACAAAAAAGGCCCCAGUAUGGAGCUUUGGGGAACUUCACAGCUUAUUUUUUUGUCCGCCGAGAGUUGUAAUUUCUUAUAUCCAUAAAGUAGACACCGUUCUUUAAGUAUCAAGAUUUCCGAAUAGGUUUGUAGUAUUCGACGUUGCAAAUUGAAACUGACUGCUGACUUUUAAUUGUUCUUCUUUGGCUCUAAAAACAAUUACUUCCAUUUUGUCUGUAUUUAGUUGAAGAAAACUGUGGCACACCCAAACAUUUAUUUGUUCUAAGCAACUACAGAGCUCUUGUCCAUGAUUAUAAUCCCUUUGUGAUAGGUUAUAUAAAGUUGUAUGUCAUCUGCAUAGAGUACGUUAAUAUUUACCAGAAGAGGCCCCAGCAUGGAGCCUUGGGGAACUCCAUGGCUUGUUUUUGUCCAUUCAGACCUAUAGGAUUCAGAAAGUCGUACCCAGUUUUCCAGUUGGUUUAGUAAUAUGCUUUGGUCGACUGUGUCACAUGCAGCACUGACAUCCAGUCAUAGUAAGACUGAAAUUCUGCCAUUGUAUGUAUUUAAGUGGAUCUCAUCAAUGAUUUUAACACUUCAACGAUCAACAAUUUUGACUAAAUUAUUCUCUGAUAAUGAUUUAAAUUAUAUUAGUAGAAACAAACUUAAAUGUAAUUUAAAUUUACUACAUCAAAAGUUAACAGAUGCUUUUAAAAAAACAAUGGAAUUAUGACAUUUGUCAAAAAACUAAGUUAAAACAUAUUCACUUUAAGGAAGAUUAUAAAACAGAAAACUAUAUUUUGUUACAUUUAUCGAGAAAACAAAGAUCCCUAUGUGCUCAGUUGAGAACUGGCACGUUACCUCUGGCAAUUGAAGUUGGUAGGUAUAAAGGUUUACCUGAAGAACAACGGCUAUGUACGCUGUGUGACCUUAACGUGGUAGAAGAUGAGCCACAUUUUGUUCUUUAUUGUCCCUGUUAUUGUGAGUUAAGAAAUAUUUUGUUUGAUGGAUGCUUGGAUCCAGAUAUUUUUUGGCAAACAGAAAGUUCUAUUUUGAGUUGCCUGUUUGAAAAUCAUGUGUUUUCCAUUGCCAAGUAUCUAUGUAAAGCCUGGGAUAGAAGGCAAAGGUUGUUGUAUCCAGUCUAAUAUAAUUCUUGUUUAUAAGUUGUGGUCUGCAGCCACAUUAUGUAUUUUUUGUUAGUGUCUUGUAAGCCCAUGUGGGCUGGGCACAAAUGUGCAUGACACUUUAAUAAAAUCAAAUCAAUCAAU
Molecule: long non-coding RNA, 2966 nt
Organism: Acanthochromis polyacanthus (spiny chromis)
Lineage: Eukaryota; Metazoa; Chordata; Actinopteri; Pomacentridae
Exons: 2
Source: RefSeq, a predicted model, not a curated record